UACAGAGGUCUCAAGCGUUGUUCGGAUUCAUUGGGCGUAAAGGGCGCGUAGGCGGCGGGGUAAGUCGGGUGUGAAAUCUCAGAGCUCAACUCUGAAAUGGCACUUGAUACUGCUCUGCUAGAGGACUGGAGAGGAGAUUGGAAUUCACGGUGUAGCAGUGAAAUGCGUAGAUAUCGUGAGGAACACCGGUGGCGAAGGCGGGUCUCUGGGCCGUAACUGACGCUGAGGAGCGAAAGCGUGGGGAGCGAACAGG
Molecule: ribosomal RNA, 253 nt
Filed under: uncultured bacterium
Lineage: Bacteria
Description: partial 16S ribosomal RNA
Rfam family: Bacterial small subunit ribosomal RNA
Source: RNAcentral